Molecule: ribosomal RNA, 465 nt
Filed under: uncultured bacterium
Lineage: Bacteria
Description: bacterial SSU rRNA
Rfam family: Bacterial small subunit ribosomal RNA
Source: RNAcentral
GGAGGAAAGCAGGGGAUCGCAAGACCUUGCGCUUUUGGAGCGGCCGAUGUCUGAUUAGCUUGUUGGUAAGGUAAAAGCUUACCAAGGCUUCGAUCAGUAGCUGGUCUGAGAGGACGACCAGCCACACUGGGACUGAGACACGGCCCAGACUCCUACGGGAGGCAGCAGUGGGGAAUUUUGGACAAUGGGGGCAACCCUGAUCCAGCCAUGCCGCGUGAGUGAAGAAGGCCUUCGGGUUGUAAAGCUCUUUCAGCCGGAACGAAACGGUUACGGUUAAUACCCGUGACUACUGACGGUACCGGAAGAAGAAGCACCGGCUAACUACGUGCCAGCAGUCGCGGUAAUACGUAGGGUGCGAGCGUUAAUCGGAAUUACUGGGCGUAAAGCGUGCGCAGGUGGUUUUGUAAGUCAGAUGUGAAAUCCCCGGGCUCAACCUGGGAACUGCGUUUGAAACUACAAAGCUAG